Long non-coding RNA from Gasterosteus aculeatus aculeatus (three-spined stickleback), 2278 nucleotides. The record is from Ensembl. NCBI's taxonomy places the organism in Eukaryota, Metazoa, Chordata, Actinopteri, Perciformes, Gasterosteidae.
CAUGAGAGUAGGGAUGAGUAUCGUUUGGGUUUUUCCGAUACCGAUCCUAAACAGAGCCUGAACCCAAACACAAUUGAAGAAAAGUUUUUUUUCACUUCAAACUAUGCACAACAUAUGAACUUUUGAAAGUUUACAGUAUGAUUACAGUGUUUCCCCUCUGUAACAGCGGAAGUGUAGUUAAUUGGAAUUUGGGGAAUAUUAAUAAUUUAAUUUGAGAUUCAUGUUCAUUGUGCAGGAACUAAAGACAUUUAUUGAAAAGCAUUUACGUUAGAUUGACGCUCCUUGUUUGUCUCAAAGUAUUGACGUGCAACACAGAAGAGCUGCAGGAGGCACGAGAGCACAUCGCUUUUCUAUUGUGUAGAAAAAUACAUACGAAUAGAAGGUAGAUGGCUAGCUAGCUGCUGUAGCUACACAAGCGGUGAGCUAUCGUUAGCUGCUGCGAGGACAGAGUUAUCAGACUGUUUAAUUAGGGUGACCAAACGUCCUCUUUUCCCCGAACAUGUCCUCUUUUCGAGACCUAAAAAAUGCGUCCGGCAGAGAUUCCAAAAACGUCCGGGAUUUUGCUUCGUCUUCGUAUAUUUGUGUUUCUCUGGGUCUUUCACAAACUAGUUAUUACGCCCUUACCAGUUUUGGAAAUGGUGUCUCGCUUACGUUCCACCUUCUUUCGCGAGCUCUGACUGUAGAGAGAACAGUCAUUGGUCGACCGAUCUCAAUGUUGCCAGAUACACGAUAAUUAUCCUCCAAAAACGACCAUGUUGAGCCUUUGGUACGAUACUUCACCAUUUCCAAUCUGGCAACACUGAGCACUUCACUAGUUGCAUUGUUUACAGCACAUCUGCAGCCAUGCCGAAACGUAAAUGUAAGUUUACGGACGAACUAAAAGAAAAUACACAUGUUUUCACCUCGGCCGUGAUGCUUCGGAAGCUUUUCUUAUUUUAAUAUGUGGCUAUAUAAAGCAUUUACUAUUUAUUAUUUGUUUAUUUGUUAUCAUUAUUGCUUCAAUAUGUGGACAAGACACAAGAAGCGCUGGACUAAAUCCCACAAAAAAGAUUUGUUUUACAUUUGCACUUUUUAGUUUUGUUAAAGUUCAAUAAAUAGAUGUUCAUAUAGUCAUUUGUGUCAUUUUUGUCAUUUCAUUUCACCAAUAUGGCACCGGUGCUCGGUACAUAAUCCUACAUGAGAGUGGUGAAAUCAACUAUUGCUAAGUAAAGGUUUGGAAUAGCUCAAAUUAAACGAACAAUAUCUAUUUAACUCUCAUUCAUUACCAAAACAGCUGGGCAUGGUGUAGUCUUUGCCACUGCGUUUAUUGGAGGCUGUUUAAGCCCCUUCUGCUGGAGCACAAUCGUUUCUUCAUUCAUCAAAAUUUUAGAAUAACUAUUACUCGCACUGUGUCCCCACAAAUGUGUUUUGACAUUCGACGGGGCAUUUAUUUGAGUUCUUGUGAGAAUUUCACCGAACUGCUCCGCGGCGCCCACAAGCCGCGCUCCUUCCUCCUCCUCCUCCUCCUCCUCCUCCGCCUAGUGCUCGUGCAGUGCUGACACACAGGUGAUGGCGGUGUUCCCCGACGUCGUUUAGUGGUAAAUUACUGCCAGUACAGAUAGUUUUAGGAUGAAAAUAAAAGAUAUAAGCCUCGCCACAGCUCCGUCACUUUCUACCCUGUCUCCUCCACCUGUCACUCACCUAAUCAGUUCAUUCGGUGCACCUGCUAGUCACAAACACUACUGAGACAUCACAUAUAGGAUUUUAGAAUUUUUAUUGUCACAGAUUACAGAGAAAUCUCUGAAUGUGUACAGUAAAAAUAUGUAUGUUCUGUAUAAUAGUUAGCGGUCCUAAACACGCGUACAUACAGUCAUUGUUAAUCGUUCGGUGCUCGCUCCCAAUCUGGGCCGUUUAAGUGCGUUUACCGUAAUGGUCAGUUUAUAGGGGCACCGACGUUCGUGUGUCUGCUGAGUUGACCACGGAGAUCCGAAUGGCUGCUAAAUCGACCCCAGUGCCGAGAGACAGCGAGAUCCUCCUUGUGGCACUGGCACGCAGUGGCACUCAGUGGCUCUCAUUGGCACAACACGCGUCAAGUAAGAGGCGGGCGUCUCAACGCCACCCCGAGUGGGCGGAGCCAGGCUUUCCCGGAAACGGCCGUUGUUUGUGCGACAGGUCAGCUGCCGUAAAGAUGUUUUUUGUAGUUCUUUUUUUAUUUUACUUCAUGUUUUUUGUAUUUAUUUUAUUUUAUUUGAUACACGACAUAUUCUCCACCUCUAUCUCAAGUCCGACGUAUUCCGCU